GGGGAUGUAGCUCAUCUGGUAGAGCGCGUGCUUAGCAUACCAUCCAUUCUGGAUGUAACAUGUUCAUGCACGAGGUACUGGGUUCGACUCCCAGCUUCUCCA
Molecule: non-coding RNA, 102 nt
Organism: Coniochaeta sp. 2T2.1
Lineage: Eukaryota; Fungi; Ascomycota; Sordariomycetes; Coniochaetales; Coniochaetaceae
Source: the annotation of a GenBank genome assembly